ACCUUUGUGGUGUAGUGGUCAGCACGCUCGACGCUUAUUCGAGAGGUGCGUGGUUCGAGUCCCGGCGAGGUCA
RNAcentral lists this transfer RNA (73 nucleotides) under Stegodyphus mimosarum. It matches the Rfam family "tRNA". Rfam says of the family: Transfer RNA (tRNA) molecules are approximately 80 nucleotides in length. Lineage: Eukaryota; Metazoa; Arthropoda; Arachnida; Araneae; Eresidae. The record is from Rfam by way of RNAcentral.